Molecule: ribosomal RNA, 117 nt
Organism: Sinocyclocheilus grahami
Lineage: Eukaryota; Metazoa; Chordata; Actinopteri; Cypriniformes; Cyprinidae
Source: Ensembl
CAUUAUGGCCAUAUCACCCUGCAGCCCAAGACUGGUUGCCCACUAAAGCUAAGCAGGGUUGAGCCUGGUUAGUACCUGGAUGGGAGAACUCUUGGGAAAACUAGGUUGCUGUUGGAA